RNAcentral lists this ribosomal RNA (231 nucleotides) under uncultured bacterium. Its description in RNAcentral is "partial 16S ribosomal RNA". It matches the Rfam family "Bacterial small subunit ribosomal RNA", at positions 111 to 334 of the family's 1533-position model. The record is from RNAcentral.
UAAUACAUAAGUAACCUGCCCUAGACAGGGGGAGUAACUAUUGGAAGCGAUAGCUAAGACCGCAUAGGUACGGACACUGCAUGGUGACCGUAUUAAAAGUGCCUCAAAGCACUGGUAGAGGAUGGACUUAUGGCGCAUUAGCUGGUUGGCGGGGUAACGGCCCACCAAGGCGACGAUGCGUAGCCGACCUGAGAGGGUGACCGGCCACACUGGGACUGAGACACGGCCCAG